CAGCACCUCAAGUGGUCAGGAUGAUUAUUGGGCCUAAAGCAUCCGUAGCCUGCUUUGUAAGUUUUCGGUUAAAUCCAUACGCUCAACGUAUGGGCUGCCGGGAAUACUGCAAAGCUAGGGAGUGGGAGAGGUAGACGGUACUCGGUAGGAAGGGGUAAAAUCCUUUGAUCUAUUGAUGACCACCUGUGGCGAAGGCGGUCUACCAGAACACGUCCGACGGUGAGGGAUGAAAGCUGGGGGAGCAAACCGGAUUAGAUACCCGGGGGUAGUCCCAGCUGUAAACUAUGCAAACUCGGUGAUGCAUUGGCUUGAUGCCAAUGCAGUGCCGCAGGGAAGCCGUUAAGUUUGCCGCCUGGAAGUACGUACGCAAGUAUG
This 375-nucleotide ribosomal RNA is filed under the name uncultured organism. RNAcentral's name for it is "partial 16S ribosomal RNA". It matches the Rfam family "Archaeal small subunit ribosomal RNA", at positions 477 to 851 of the family's 1478-position model. The record is from RNAcentral.